UAGGGAAUCUUCGGCAAUGGACGCAAGUCUGACCGAGCAACGCCGCGUGAGUGAAGAAGGUUUUCGGAUCGUAAAACUCUGUUGUUAGAGAAGAACAAGGAUGAGAGUAGAAUGUUCAUCCCUUGACGGUAUCUAACCAGAAAGCCACGGCUAACUACGUGCCAGCAGCCGCGGUAAUACGUAGGUGACAAGCGUUGUCCGGAUUUAUUGGGCGUAAAGCGAGCGCAGGCGGUUUCUUAAGUCUGAUGUGAAAGCCCCCGGCUCAACCGGGGAGGGUCAUUGGAAACUGGGAAACUUGAGUGCAGAAGAGGAGAGUGGAAUUCCAUGUGUAGCGGUGAAAUGCGUAGAUAUAUGGAGGAACACCAGUGGCGAAGGCGGCUCUCUGGUCUGUAACUGACGCUGAGGCUCGAAAGCGUGGGGAGCAAACAGG
RNAcentral lists this ribosomal RNA (430 nucleotides) under Fusobacteriota bacterium. Its description in RNAcentral is "Fusobacteria bacterium partial 16S ribosomal RNA". It matches the Rfam family "Bacterial small subunit ribosomal RNA", at positions 355 to 776 of the family's 1533-position model. Lineage: Bacteria; Fusobacteriati; Fusobacteriota. The record is from RNAcentral.